AAAGGCCUCAUAUUUUUUAUUUUAGCUUAGUGACUAUUUGUUGGGACCUUCCCUGUUUCCUUAUUGUUUCUCUUACCUGCAAAAUUGAGAAAACAACAACAGAAGUCUGCUUUGCAGAGUAAUUUUGAGAAGUAACUAUAAUAGAACAUUAAAAUCCACGAGUGAAAAAUAUGAUAAAAUGAGAAUGAGAUCAGUCGCAUCUGGUUCAAACUACUCUUCUUGACUCCAGCCAGGACAGGAGGGCUGUGUCAUUCAGUUUUUCAUCCUAUACCACGAUAUCCACCCAUGUUCCUUCUCACAGGCAUUUGAGUGUCAUUUAUUUAGAUUUCAGAAGUGUGUGUUGAUUGUUUCUAGACAACUCGAGAGAUGAUCGCUCGUUCUGCUGCUACUCUCAUCACACAUCCCUUCCAUGUGAUCACUCUGAGAUCUAUGGUACAGUUCAUUGGCAGAGAAUCCAAGUACUGUGGACUUUGUGAUUCCAUAGUAACCAUCUAUCGGGAAGAGGGCAUCCUAGGAUUUUUCGCGUGAGUAAAUGUUGAUUAGUAUGUAAUUUCUGUGUGAGAAAUUUUUCCUGAAAAUGAGGACAGUGAAUCUUUAUUCAAUCCCUGGGGAAAAUGUACUUCCUGGACUUAUCUCAUGUUACAUUCUAUGUAGGCCCCUCAUUUUUUUUCUUUUUUCUCUGCAGAAAGGCAUAUUUAGGCCCCAUAUGACCGGAAUUCUCUUGUAAAGAUCCCAAAUCUUUGCUUCUAGAUACUUAAAACAUUUGAGGCUGGGCGUGGCUCACGCUUGUAAUCCCA
This is a long non-coding RNA of Sapajus apella (tufted capuchin), 797 nucleotides long. RefSeq lists it as uncharacterized. Lineage: Eukaryota; Metazoa; Chordata; Mammalia; Primates; Cebidae. The transcript has 3 exons. The record is from RefSeq and is a predicted model, not a curated record.